AUAAUGAUACUUCUGUAAUUCGCAGCCCGACCAUAAUGCAGGCGGGGAGAUGAAAUUUCUAUGG
Blautia sp. is the source of this 64-nucleotide regulatory RNA element. It matches the Rfam family "pemK RNA". Lineage: Bacteria; Bacillati; Bacillota; Clostridia; Lachnospirales; Lachnospiraceae. The record is from Rfam.